GGUCAAAGUGUUGAGUUCAGUCUGGCUGCUCGGUGCCGGUCUGAUAAUUAAACUUUGAGACAGAAACCUGCCGCAGAGACUCGGUUCACAU
This 91-nucleotide small nucleolar RNA is filed under the name Lates calcarifer (barramundi perch). The record is from RNAcentral. Lineage: Eukaryota; Metazoa; Chordata; Actinopteri; Centropomidae.